GGGUUGUGAGGUUAAGCGACUAAGCGUACACGGUGGAUGCCCUGGCAGUCAGAGGCGAUGAAGGACGUGCUAAUCUGCGAUAAGCGUCGGUAAGGUGAUAUGAACCGUUAUAACCGGCGAUUUCCGAAUGGGGAAACCCAGUGUGAUUCGUCACACUAUCAUUAACUGAAUCCAUAGGUUAAUGAGGCGAACCGGGGGAACUGAAACAUCUAAGUACCCCGAGGAAAAGAAAUCAACCGAGAUUCCCCCAGUAGCGGCGAGCGAACGGGGAGCAGCCCAGAGCCUGAAUCAGUGUGUGUGUUAGUGGAAGCGUCUGGAAAGGCGUGCGAUACAGGGUGACAGCCCCGUACACAAAAAUGCACAUACUGUGAGCUCGAUGAGUAGGGCGGGACACGUGGUAUCCUGUCUGAAUAUGGGGGGACCAUCCUCCAAGGCUAAAUACUCCUGACUGACCGAUAGUGAACCAGUACCGUGAGGGAAAGGCGAAAAGAACCCCGGCGAGGGGAGUGAAAAAGAACCUGAAACCGUGUACGUACAAGCAGUGGGAGCACGCUUAGGCGUGUGACUGCGUACCUUUUGUAUAAUGGGUCAGCGACUUAUAUUCUGUAGCAAGGUUAACCGAAUAGGGGAGCCGAAGGGAAACCGAGUCUUAACUGGGCGUUAAGUUGCAGGGUAUAGACCCGAAACCCGGUGAUCUAGCCAUGGGCAGGUUGAAGGUUGGGUAACACUAACUGGAGGACCGAACCGACUAAUGUUGAAAAAUUAGCGGAUGACUUGUGGCUGGGGGUGAAAGGCCAAUCAAACCGGGAGAUAGCUGGUUCUCCCCGAAAGCUAUUUAGGUAGCGCCUCGUGAAUUCAUCUCCGGGGGUAGAGCACUGUUUCGGCAAGGGGGUCAUCCCGACUUACCAACCCGAUGCAAACUGCGAAUACCGGAGAAUGUUAUCACGGGAGACACACGGCGGGUGCUAACGUCCGUCGUGAAGAGGGAAACAACCCAGACCGCCAGCUAAGGUCCCAAAGUCAUGGUUAAGUGGGAAACGAUGUGGGAAGGCCCAGACAGCCAGGAUGUUGGCUUAGAAGCAGCCAUCAUUUAAAGAAAGCGUAAUAGCUCACUGGUCGAGUCGGCCUGCGCGGAAGAUGUAACGGGGCUAAACCAUGCACCGAAGCUGCGGCAGCGACGCUUAUGCGUUGUUGGGUAGGGGAGCGUUCUGUAAGCCUGUGAAGGUGUGCUGUGAGGUAUGCUGGAGGUAUCAGAAGUGCGAAUGCUGACAUAAGUAACGAUAAAGCGGGUGAAAAGCCCGCUCGCCGGAAGACCAAGGGUUCCUGUCCAACGUUAAUCGGGGCAGGGUGAGUCGACCCCUAAGGCGAGGCCGAAAGGCGUAGUCGAUGGGAAACAGGUUAAUAUUCCUGUACUUGGUGUUACUGCGAAGGGGGGACGGAGAAGGCUAUGUU
This 1452-nucleotide ribosomal RNA is filed under the name Shigella flexneri. RNAcentral's name for it is "bacterial LSU rRNA". It matches the Rfam family "Bacterial large subunit ribosomal RNA", at positions 1 to 1488 of the family's 2925-position model. Lineage: Bacteria; Pseudomonadati; Pseudomonadota; Gammaproteobacteria; Enterobacterales; Enterobacteriaceae. The record is from RNAcentral.